GUUUAUCUUCCGGUCGUUGGGCAUCGUGCUGAAGGAGACCGUCUUCUUCUGCAUGGGCCGCUGCCGGGAGCCGUCCUUCAUGAUGCUCGCACGGGGCGCGGCGGGCGCGGGGCUCCGCUCCGCCGAGUCCUCCCGGCUGCUGCUCCCCGAACCCGAACCGGGGCUGCCGCCACCGCCGCCGCGGGGCCCGUUGGGCAGCGGCGCGGCGGGGCGGGGCGAGCCGGGCGGCGGGGCGCUCCGGGGCCCCUCCGCCAUCCCCGCGGCACCACAGCAGCGGCCGCCGCGGGGCCCCGGGCGCCCCGGUGCCUGUGCCCGCCGCCGCUGC
This 325-nucleotide long non-coding RNA is filed under the name Gallus gallus (chicken). The record is from RNAcentral. Lineage: Eukaryota; Metazoa; Chordata; Aves; Galliformes; Phasianidae.